Molecule: non-coding RNA, 216 nt
Filed under: Sporosarcina newyorkensis
Lineage: Bacteria; Bacillati; Bacillota; Bacilli; Caryophanales; Caryophanaceae
Description: T-box sequence
Rfam family: T-box leader
About the family: Uncharged tRNA acts as the effector for transcription antitermination of genes in the T-box leader family. T-boxes are found upstream of many aminoacyl-tRNA synthetase genes and some amino acid biosynthetic genes usually in Gram-positive bacteria.
Source: RNAcentral
AAAAAAGCGUUGAGAAGGAAAGUACAUGUUGAAUGCUCCAAAGAGAGGGUCAUCUAGGCUGGGAAUGACCUGAGUUGAUUUAACAUGGAAAUGCACCUUUGAGCGAUGAGCUGAACUUUUUAGUAGGCCAUACGUAUCGUCUGCGUUAAAGACAUUAAGCGGGAAGAGGAAUUUCUUCCAAGCGGAGUGGAACCACGCAACCAAUGCGUCUCUGUC